RNAcentral lists this ribosomal RNA (116 nucleotides) under Lysinibacillus pakistanensis. The record is from RNAcentral. Lineage: Bacteria; Bacillati; Bacillota; Bacilli; Caryophanales; Bacillaceae.
UCUAGUGAUGAUGGCAAAGAGGUCACACCCGUUCCCAUACCGAACACGGAAGUUAAGCUCUUUAGCGCCGAUGGUAGUUGGGGGCUUCCCCCUGUGAUAGUAGGACGUCGCUAGGC